Molecule: long non-coding RNA, 949 nt
Filed under: Cyanistes caeruleus (blue tit)
Lineage: Eukaryota; Metazoa; Chordata; Aves; Passeriformes; Paridae
Description: lncRNA (ENSCCEG00000018683.1)
Source: RNAcentral
AAAAUCUGGGAAUAUCAAUUCCAGACAAUUCGGGAAUAUCAAUCCCAAAUAAUCCAUGGGUUAUCGAUCCCAGACAAUUCGGGAAUAUUGAUCCCAGACAAUCCCAGGAUAUCAAUCCCAGACAAUUGGGAAUAUCGAUCGCAAACAAUCCUGGGUUAUUGAUCCCAGACAAUUCGGGAAUAUCGAUCCCAAAGAAUCCAUGGGUUAUCGAUCCCAGACAAUUCAGGAUUAUCGAUCCCAGACAAUCCAUGGGUUAUUGAUCCCAGACAAUUCAGGAUUAUCGAUCCCAAAGAAUCCAUGGGUUAUCGAUCCCAGACAAUUCAGGAAUAUCGAUCCCAAAGAAUCCAUGGGUUAUUGAUCCCAGACAAUUCGGGAAUAUUGAUCCCAGGCUCUCCCAGCCGUGUCCGAUCGGGAACUCCGGGAUUUUCCAGGGAACCUCCACGAGCCUUUGCUGAUCCUGGAGGGCCGGGACGGAGCCGGGAUCCGCCUGCGCUGCCUCUCGGAGCGGAACAUUCCCAACAUUCGCCUGCUCUGGAGCGACGGCAACGGCCGCAACCUGUCGGGAAUUCCGGAGCCUCGGGAUUCCGGGAAAGGCGGCAGCUCCGUGCUGCUCCGGCCGGGAGCCGGGAACGCCGCGGCCUGUCGGAUUCUGGAGCCCUGGAGCAGCUCGGACACCGAAUCCGCCGUGGUCAUCGCCGGGAACAGCCGGAUCCUGGCUCGGGAGCGUGAGUGCAAUUCUUUCAUUCAUUAAUUAAUUCAUUAAUUGAAGAAGUGCCGGUCAUUAAUUAAGAUCCCCAAUUAAGGCUUCAGCCGGGAUUUGGGGAGGUUUGAGGAGGGAUUUUGGCCGGAAUUGGAAUUAUUAAUUGAUAUGAAUUUUAUUAUUUAUAAAAUUAAUAUUUAUUUAUGGAUGAAAUAUUAUUCGAUAUAUCUUGAAUUAAAUAUGGAUAUG